AAUAUGGCUAUCAUCAAGAAAACAUACUGGUUAUAUGCAAAUUAUGAAUUUUUGUAAAUUUUAAAAUAUCUAUUGAUAUUAUUUCCAUAAUAUCGUAUUUCAUUUAUGGAAUUUCUAGCUUGGUCAGUUUCUAUAUAAAGCAUUCGGGCAAAGGCGAAUUUUCAUCCUUUGCACGUCACUUUGUUAUUCUAGGAUUUCAUUCUUCCAGUUUCAGGAUUCGGUCUUCUGAAAUAUUUGUUUCUAAUCAAUGGCGAUAUUCCAGUGGCAAUAUGUGUUAUUCUGGAGCUUUAUGUCCAUAAUAAUAAACUCAUGCAGAUAUAAACCGGUGAAAUCUUAAUUUUUGGUAUUUUUGUUGUUCUUGGUAUUUUUUUAAUUUUGUUUUGCAGUUGUUAGUGAUAUAUCCUCGCAAUGAAGAAUGAAACGAUGAAAUAGAAUCUUUGGGUUCACUUUUGAUGUUGUAUAUGGAUGAGGAUUCCAUCAGCGAUGUAUAUCUUGGAUUCAUGAUGUAUUUUUUGCGAUCUUGCUACUAUGCUUUCAGGUAACUUGGCGGUUUUUGUUCACAGCAAUUGCUUAUUCAGGGUCUAGAAACUAUACGACUAUACGAGGGCGGUAAUAAUAUUGGGUGAUGCAGAUCUGGACACAAAUAUAGUGCAAUGGCAUCAUAUUUUAGCGGCUAUACAAUCUAAAUACUGAAGCCGUGAAGAAAAAUCUAUGAUUUAAGUUGUAUUACUAAAAUCGUAACUGCAACUAAAAUACAGAGCUGCUCUGUCCAUUCCUGACCGUCCCUCCACCAGUAUUGCUGGGAUUUACUAUGGUAAUGCUGCUUCGCUCCCAAGAAAAUGUGGUGUUAAUAUUCCUUAUACAAUCAACCCCUCUACUAAGUGCACCAAAUACGUAUCUUUGGCUCAGACAACUGCGUUCACUUCGGGAGAAAAAUUAUGGGCUCCUACUACUACCACUACCACUUCUACUAGAAAACAGCAGGGAGACGUCGGAAGAAAGCUUAUUUACCAGUAUUGACCACUUCGCUGCAUGGCACUGAUUCUUUAACCCAAAGAUGCAGGUAAAUAUGAUUGAUAUAUGCGGGGGAGAUUGAAAUGUCGGAGAAUGGAAGGAACAAAGCAUAUGAGAACGGAUUUUCUUUGAUAAUUAGGUUAAUUGUUUUGAGAGCUUAUACUGACUUUUCCUUACUUACGAUUGAGAAUUAGCAUAAAAAAAUGAAAAGUAGCCUUUAAGAGAGAUAUUAUUAUACUCCGGCAGAAAAGACAAGAUGCACAUUGCACAAUAUAGACAAGAUGCACAAUUUAUUUCUUCACUAUCUAUCUGUGUCCGGAAGCUCUCUCUCAGCUGAAUUAAUUUGUGGCCAUCACCACAAAAGAAUGGCAGAAACUGAGAUGACAGCUCAAGCAAAACAGAUACAUACAAACAUAGACCACGGAACCAAAUACACCGUAUGAACUCUUGGUGUGUUAGAAUGUGACGGUGAAUAGUUUAUGAAGACUUUUCUGGUAUGUUAUGUUCCUCAUUGGAUAAGGGAAGUUGCAAAAAUAGUGAGAAGAAAUGUACUUUACGUGUUUUUGUCGGUGUUAGUGAAUGUAGGUUUACUUCACUUUUCGGUGUUGUCCGACGAAUGUGAUGUUGAAGGAAUUGAAAUUCGAGGGAUUUUAUUUUUUUAGUUAGUGAUUCUCAUUCGAGAAAUGCUUUGUUUUCUACUUAUUGCAAAAUUGCGGGAUUUA
Papaver somniferum (opium poppy) is the source of this 1736-nucleotide long non-coding RNA. RefSeq lists it as uncharacterized. NCBI's taxonomy places the organism in Eukaryota, Viridiplantae, Streptophyta, Magnoliopsida, Ranunculales, Papaveraceae. The record is from RefSeq and is a predicted model, not a curated record. The transcript is spliced from 5 exons.